RNAcentral lists this small RNA (2063 nucleotides) under Pongo abelii (Sumatran orangutan). Its description in RNAcentral is "processed transcript". The record is from RNAcentral. Lineage: Eukaryota; Metazoa; Chordata; Mammalia; Primates; Hominidae.
CAUGAUGUCAAUUAGAGUUGUUAUUUCUAAGCAAUAGAAUUGUAGGUUUUUUUUCCUUUUUAAUAGAUUUCCAAAAAUAUUCUUCAAUGGCUAUGUAUUACUUUUAUAAUUAAGAAGUUAAAGUCCUGUGAGGUCAUUUCAGAAAAUAAUCAUUACUGUGAUGAUUUUUCAGUCUUUCCAGUGUCAGCCUGCCUUUAGCUAAGAUAAUUCCAAUAGUAAACGGACAGAUCCAUUCAGUUUGCAGUGAAACACCUAGUCAUUUUGUUCAGGGCAGCCUUGAACAUACCAGAAAGCAAUAGGAAAAAACUGGAGAAAGUGAAAAUGCUGCGAUGAAGGAAAAGAGGAGACAAACAAGGGUGACAUUGGCUGGGCAGCAAAGAUGACCAAAAGGCCAAGAAGCCUGUGCUGUUCCAGUAUUGAUCCGGCGCUCCUCCAUCACCAUCCGACCACAGAACCUCAGGCUGAUAGUUGUUCACUAACUCAUAGAGCUCUGGCAAUGUCUUAGAAACUGGAAAUUGCCGCUUAUGGAAUGAACUGGAUUCAUCCUCAAGGAAGAGAGGAUGAAACCAUUCAAAAAGGGAAUAGUACAGUCCAAAACGCAGGUUCUGACUCUGUCACCCAGGCUGGAGUUCAGUGGUGCGACCUUGGCUCACUGCAUCCUCGACCUCCUGGGCUCAAGUGAUCCUCACACCUCAGCCUACCAAGUAGCUAGGACUACAGCUUGGGAAAGUUCCUAGACAUCAGGAAAUCAGCAUGUUCUCAAGCAAAUACACUUGAUAGACAUUCAUCUCAGCAGGAUAAAUAUCUACAGGAGAAAAUCAUGAAGCUACUGGAAUGUGGCCAAAGGGAAAAAUAUCCUAUGAUCAUUCCAGAUUUUUUGUGUUGGUUCUCCUCUCCUAUUCCCAUCCUGUCCCUGGAGAAAACAAUAAGGCAAAGUUUCCUUUUUUUUUUUUGAGACAGGAUCUCCCUCUGCCACCUAGACUGGAGUGUAGUGACUCUAUCUCCACUCAAUGCAGCCUCAAGCAGUCCUCCAACCUAAGCCUCCCAAGUAGCUGGGACUACAGAGACACACCACCACGCUAAUUUUUUAGGUUUUUUUGUUUGUUGGUUUGUUUGUUUGUUUUUGUAGAGACAGGGUCUCACUAUGUUGCCCAGGCUGGUCUUGAACCCCUGGGCUCAAAUGAUCCUCCUUCCUCGGCCUCCCAAAGUUUUGGGAUUACAGGCAUGAGCAACCGCAUCCAGUGCAAAUUUUUUUAUACCAAGGCAAAGAUGAUCAUGCAAAAGAAACCAAUGAAUGAACAAGCAGUUGGAACAAAAACAAUUUGUUAAUGCUUCCCUGGCCUUACAAAUACUGGAGUGGUAAUGGGUGGAAUCCAUUCUAUUAAAAUAGGACUACUAUGUGGGGGUUUAGAUAUUCUUCUACCACCUCUGAUUUUUCUGGAAACCAUUACAGUUCCACAAUCCUUUUCCCUCCAGGUGAUCUGGGUCACUUUCAUCACUGUCAGUUCAUCCACUAUUUGCACCAUUUGGCCAUCUAAGAGUUGGCAAAAAGUGCAGCCAGGUGUAUCGUAAUGAUGCAAGACUAUAGCAGUAUAACCCCCAUGAUGCAUUCACAGGAUGCAUUACAGAGAAAGGGAAGGAAAGAGUGCAAUUCCAAUGAUGAACUUUGACUUGCAACCCACACUCCCUUCAACAAACAGCUUUAAGUAAAUCUUGGAAAUAUUAUUCAAAAUACAUGUGACAAAACGUGACCAUCUUUCGUCUGUUAUGUGGAGGGUAUGAUCCUUUCUGUAUUCCUAACAUCUCUCAAUUUGGGUUGAACUUGCAGUCCCUAAGUUAUAAGCAAGUGCCAGUCACCACUUAUGGUUGCUCCUAAGAGAAAAUUAGACCUUGCUUUAGUUUUUUCUUCCAAAAAAACAACUUUUCAUUUCUUAACCAUUGUCAUCAAUUUCCAUAGGCUGGAUUGACUUACCUUCAUGAUGUUUGGAAGUUAACACAAUGUAUUUGGCACCAGAGGCCUGAAAAAUAUCUGCCCACUGGUUGGCAUUAAAAAAUUUUGCUGU